GCCGGGUAUGUGGCGCGUACCUGUAAUCCUGCUUCUGGGAGGCUUGGUGUAGUGGAUGGCUUGAGGCUUGGAAUCCUGCUGGAUCGUCGCUUGCGUUGAACAGGUGUCCGCACUAAGCUUUGCAUCAACAUGGAUCGGUUGGAAGAAUCCGACAGAUCCAGAUUAUCUAAGGAGGAGCGAAUCGGGCCAGGAGGGAAACCGAGCAGCCAAAAGUUCCCGUGUCGGGCAGUAGUGGGAUCGCGCCCGUGAGUAGGCGCCUUUCAGUAGCCCAGCCAAUAAAGUCACACCUACAUCUUU
This is a non-coding RNA of Daphnia pulex (common water flea), 297 nucleotides long. The record is from Rfam. NCBI's taxonomy places the organism in Eukaryota, Metazoa, Arthropoda, Branchiopoda, Diplostraca, Daphniidae.